GGGUUGUGAGGUUAAGCGACUAAGCGUACACGGUGGAUGCCCUGGCAGUCAGAGGCGAUGAAGGGCGUGCUAAUCUGCGAUAAGCGCCGGUAAGGUGAUAUGAACCGUUAUAACCGGCGAUACCCGAAUGGGGAAACCCAGUGUGAUUCGUCACACUAUCAUUAACUGAAUCCAUAGGUUAAUGAGGCGAACCGGGGGAACUGAAACAUCUAAGUACCCCGAGGAAAAGAAAUCAACCGAGAUUCCCCCAGUAGCGGCGAGCGAACGGGGAGGAGCCCAGAGCCUGAAUCAGCAUGUGUGUUAGUGGAAGUGUCUGGAAAGGCGCGCGAUACAGGGUGACAGCCCCGUACACAAAAGCGCAUGUGCUGUGAGCUCGAUGAGUAGGGCGGGACACGUGGUAUCCUGUCUGAAUAUGGGGGGACCAUCCUCCAAGGCUAAAUACUCCUGACUGACCGAUAGUGAACCAGUACCGUGAGGGAAAGGCGAAAAGAACCCCGGCGAGGGGAGUGAAAAAGAACCUGAAACCGUGUACGUACAAGCAGUGGGAGCACAGGUUUACCUGUGUGACUGCGUACCUUUUGUAUAAUGGGUCAGCGACUUAUAUUCUGUAGCAAGGUUAACCG
RNAcentral lists this ribosomal RNA (623 nucleotides) under Salmonella enterica. Its description in RNAcentral is "partial 23S ribosomal RNA". It matches the Rfam family "Bacterial large subunit ribosomal RNA", at positions 1 to 652 of the family's 2925-position model. The record is from RNAcentral. Lineage: Bacteria; Pseudomonadati; Pseudomonadota; Gammaproteobacteria; Enterobacterales; Enterobacteriaceae.